CCGAGUUGACAAGACUCCCUAAACCCUGUGAACAUACCUUUAUGUUGCCUCGGCGGAGCAGGCCCGCGCCCCCGGCAAACGGGACGGCCCGCCGGCAGGAACCCUAAACUCUGAUUUAGUGGAACUUCUGAGUAUAUACUAAAUAAGUCA
This 150-nucleotide unclassified non-coding RNA is filed under the name soil metagenome. RNAcentral's name for it is "partial internal transcribed spacer 1". The record is from RNAcentral.